GCCCGGAUGGUGUAAAUGGCAAUCGCGCUACCCUUAGAAGGUGGAAAUUGAGGGUUCGAAUCCCUCUCCGGGUA
RNAcentral lists this transfer RNA (74 nucleotides) under Bacteroidota bacterium. RNAcentral describes it as "Bacteroidetes bacterium (activated sludge metagenome) tRNA-Leu". It matches the Rfam family "tRNA". From Rfam's summary of the family: Transfer RNA (tRNA) molecules are approximately 80 nucleotides in length. Their secondary structure includes four short double-helical elements and three loops (D, anti-codon, and T loops). The record is from RNAcentral. Lineage: Bacteria; Pseudomonadati; Bacteroidota.